AGAACGAACGCUGGCGGCAUGCCUAAUACAUGCAAGUUGAACGAACUCUUCGGAGUUAGUGGCGCACGGGUGCGUAACGCGUGGGAAUCUGCCCUUGGGUUCGGAAUAACAGUUGGAAACGACUGCUAAUACCGGAUGAUGACGAAAGUCCAAAGAUUUAUCGCCCAGGGAUGAGCCCGCGUAGGAUUAGCUAGUUGGUGAGGUAAAGGCUCACCGAAGGCGACGAUCCUUAGCUGGUCUGAGAGGAUGAUCAGCCACACUGGGACUGAGAC
Molecule: ribosomal RNA, 272 nt
Filed under: uncultured soil bacterium
Lineage: Bacteria
Description: partial 16S ribosomal RNA
Rfam family: Bacterial small subunit ribosomal RNA
Source: RNAcentral